This 4451-nucleotide long non-coding RNA is filed under the name Lactuca sativa (garden lettuce). RNAcentral's name for it is "long non-coding RNA (LSAT_LNC008032)". Lineage: Eukaryota; Viridiplantae; Streptophyta; Magnoliopsida; Asterales; Asteraceae. The record is from RNAcentral.
GAAAAACUCCGAUGCAGGUAUAAUAUUUCAACAAGUAUAUUUUACAUAUAAUUUAUAUAUUGAAUUUUUAUUAAUUAACGAUAUUUCAAUGUAGGUUCUUAUGGGAAUUUUGAAUGAUAAAAAAUUUGUUAUCGAGUUUUCCGUAAAUAAUAUUUCAAAUGAAUUGGAAAACCUGUUUUUCAUUCAUCCUCUUUCGUUAGAUAUAUGGCAAGCAUUUCCACACGUUUUGAUUAUUGAUGCAACAUACAAAACAAACAAAUAUGCUAUGCCUUUUGUUGAGAUUGUUGGAGUAACUUCAACCAACAAGACAUUUAGCAUUGCUUUUGCCUUUAUCAUUAAUGAAAAGGAGGAAAGUUAUAAGUGGGUGUUAAUGUGUCUAAGGUUGACACUAGAAAAGUGCAUGCAACCACGCGUUAUAAUGACGGACAGAGAAUUGGCAUUGGUGAAUGCAUGCCAACAAGUUUUCCCUUAUGCAACUCGCUUACUUUGUCGAUGGCACAUUACCGAAAAUAUUAGAAAGCAUUGUAAGGCGCUAAUCCCAUUGAAAGCUGAGUGGAAAUCCUUUCGUGCUAUGUGGAGUAUACUUGUUGAGUCUCCAACAUGGACAUCAUACACUGAAAACUACAGAAAACUGCAGUCAAUGUUAAGAGAACAUCAAGGUACAAUGCUACUUAUUUUUUAAUUACUUGUUUAUAAAUUUAGAAGACUUUUUAUGUAUAAAUAACAUUUAUAUAAAUCCAGAUGUCUUACAAUAUUUGGACGAUGUUUGGUUAAACAAGUAUAAGGAAAUGUUUGUCUCUGUUUGGAUUGAUCAACAUCUGAACUUUGGACAACGAACUAGUAGCAGAGUUGAGGGCCAACAUUCAGUGUUAAAGAAGUACUUACAAGAAAAAAAUUAUUCUUUAGCUAAAUUUGUUGGUGCUAUUGAUCGGUUUGUGAAGUCUCAACUUACUGCAAUAAAUGAGAGUUUUGAAAAGAGCAUGAUUGUCUCCAAACACGAACACAGAUUUUCGUGUUUCGACUUAUUGCGGGGUAACGUUUCACUUAAAGCUCUAGAUAUGCUUAUAGAGGAACUUCAACGGGUACAUCAAGUUGACUCUUCAAACUGUGGUUGUAAACUACAAAAUAGUUGUGGUUUACCAUGUGCUUGCAUGCUAUCAGCGUACUUGAACUCCGGUGGGUACAUUUGACAAUUAUUUUUUUAAUUUAAGUUAUAUAUUGGUUGUUUAUAUAUUAAUGAUAUUUCAAUGCAGGUGAGUGUAUUCCAUUGGAAUCGAUAGAUGUAUUCUGGAGAAAGCUUAAAAUUUCACCAUCAAUUCCUAUGGAAAAUGAAGAUAUAUGUGGUGAUGGUAAAUUUGAAAUGUUUAAAGAAACCUACAAUAAGCAACCGGAAGCUGUGAAAAAAAGCAUGAUGAGAAAGCUACUAGAUAUAUUCCAGCCUAGUAAAACACACAUUAGAGAACCCGCAAUUCAAAAAAAUACACGUGGACGACCAAGUUUGAAGAAACAAAAACAAAAACAAACUGAUUCUAUCAAUCAAGCUCCUAGAAGACGCAACUUUUCAACCAUGCCAAAAUUUGUUGAGUUGAACAAUAGGGAUCCGGCAAGACAUAGUUCAUACAUAACCACAAUUCCAGACUUGAAUGAAAUUCCAGACUUGAAAGAAGAGCCAGACUUGAAUGAAAUUCCAGACUUGAAGGAAGAGCCAGACUUGAAUGAAAUUCCAGACUUGAAGGAAGAGCCUCAAUCAUGCUACAAUCAUCGACUAAUAGAUGAAAUCCAAGUGAUGUUUCAUCCUUACAUCACACAUAUACAAGAUGUAGAGGGGGAUGGAAACUGUGGAUUUCGAGCAAUAUCUGUUUGUCUUGGGUAUGGCGAGAAUGACUGGCUCUAUGUUCGACGUCAACUACUAGACGAGUUAUUGAGUUCGUACGAUGCAUAUGCUAGAGUUUUCACUGAUGGAAUCGGUGAACUAUAUACUUCGUUGAAUUUCUUAGAAUCACCGGCACCUAAAAGAUACUGGUUACUUAUGCCUGAAACAGGUAUCCUCAUUGCCAACAGAUUUGGUGUAGUCCUUACUUUUUUAACCAACCAAGGCUCUCUCACUUUCUUUCCUCUUUGGAAAGGUCCGGAAGAAUUUUUGUACCAUCGCGUUAUUACGAUUUCACUUGUAUAUGGUAAUCAUUAUGUGAUGGUACAAUUAGAAGGAGAUUGUCCGCUGCCUACCAUUUCAGCUUUCUGGAUCCGCCACAAAGCCCCAUGUGCAGCUGGAUGGGAAACUAUGUUCAUGUCACGUCUAGAACUUUAUAGACAACUGAAACCUUACAAUCCUGAAACACCUUUUAUAACUAUAGAGGAUUGUUAGAGGGUAUUAAUUUUCUCUCGAAUUAUGCAUUUAUGUAUUCAUGAAGGAUUGCUAAUGCUAUUGUUUUUUGCAUCAUAUUUUUGUUUUUAUGUAUUAAUUUAUAUUUAAUUAUUAAAUAAUAUACAAAUAUAUAUAUAUAUAUAUAUGUUAUUAAUCUAUAUUAAUUAAAAAUAAAUAAUUAAUCAUUUAUAUUUAAUUUAUAUAUAUAUAUGUUUUAAUUACUCCAAAAAAAAUAUUAAUAUUCAAGCAUAAAAUGAAAAAGAAAAGAAAAAUAAAAAGUAAAUAAAAUAAAAAUAAAAAGAAGGCAUGUAAAUUAAAGAAAAACAAAAAGUUAGGUAUAUAAACUUCAAUAUAAAAAGACAUUGUUGAUUUUUUUUUUUAUUAGGGUGUUUUUUUAGUAUAGGUUGUGUUUUUAGUAAAUGGGGGUGUUUAUUUAGCCUAUAGUCAUGUGGUAAAUAUACAACAAACACAAUUUUAUGUCAUUUAAAGUCACCAAUCACAAAUCACAAUUCAAUUCAGAGUAUUAAAUGAUCACAAAAAGAAUAAUUAAUUAGAAAUCAGAAAUGAAGCCAAAGUUUAAUUCAUUAACCUUCAGUUUUUUUGAGUUGUUUAAACCAAGAUAAUAUUGAUCUUAUAGUCUCGUAUCACCUGGUUUCCUUUUUGUGUACCUGGAGAAAUCAAGAACAAAACUGUUAAGCAUCCAUUUAAAAAUGGACUUAAACGUUAUCUCAUAAUCAACUACUCGGAUGGAAGACAUAAUAUUUAAUUAUUGCUGCAAUAAACAAUGAAAACUUCACAUCGUAAUCAGAAAAAUUACCAACUACAUAAUUGGUGCAAAAAGAAAGACAGGUUGAUUUCUACCAAGUCUCUUCUACAAGUCCAACCAUUUUCCAACAAAACAUGAAGUUUGGGUUUAAUUAAACAUAAAAAUCGGCACUUUAAGAUAGGUAGGUGCAACAAUGUUGUUUUACGAACAUCACAAUGCAGUAAAGCAGUGAAUGAAAGAACAUGGAUAAGAACAGAUGCUAAUUCAUUUCGAAAAACCUAUAGGCAACAAAACUAAUUUCAAAAAGAAAUGAGGUGAUUUCUACUAAUUCACGUCCACAACUCCAACAAUCUUCCAGGAACACAAAGACGAAUCCAAUUGAACUUAACAAGAAGCGAUAACAAAACCAGUAAAUAUGAACGACAACGAUAGAAAUCAAUAGAUAUUGCAAUUGAAAAACUAACAGAUGACACAUUUAGUAUUGACAAACUAAUUCCCACAAGAAACAAAAGCAAUUUCUAUGCUAUCAUUCAACAACUCCAUAGUCUUCCAUUAUAACACACACAAUCCAGCCAAAUCAAACCUAAAAACAGGCGUUUAAGAUAUGCAGGUGCGACAAUGAUGAUGAUCGAAUAAAGCACAUAAGAAUCGGUGGUGGAUCCUUUUCAGAAGAUCUUAGAUAGCACAAUUAGCAUACGAAAAUAACGUAAUUGCUACUAAAUCACCUUAAUAACAGGUCAAACUCAAAUUUUAGUAUAAUUAAAACUGAAACCUAUUAAGAAGUAGCAUCAGAAUCCGGAGAAACAGUGCACAGAUGAUGAAGAACGGGAAUCAAUACUUAAACAGAGAAUCACUGGUUGGGUGGAAAGAGAAAACUGCAAAGAAAUUUAAGCAACAUUUUUAUCGAUUAAUCCAAAAGUAGAAAUACUUGUUAUGCAUGAAUCGACCGAAGCAUACUGAAAUCACAAAUGCAAUUACUUGAAAGAUCAGACAAGAAUAUCAUUGAUUGUAGUUGACUUGCUUUAAAUUAAUGAUAGAAUUUUCAGACGACUCGACCAUUGAUGGAGGAAAAUUCGUCGAUACCUUUUCAGAUUUCCCAAUAUAUGGAUUAUUGCUCGAUUGCGUGAGGGAGAAAAUAAAUAUCGUUCGGAUCUAUGAACGACAGGGAGCCAUUGCUUUGUUCAGAUCUUCAAUUAAAAGAGGAAAGCAAGAUGAGAUCGGCGAUGGCUGUGACUGCGACGAACCAAGGAUGGAGAUGUGUGAGGACGUGAGAGAAAUUACAUCCGGGGAGGAAUAAAGAGAGGAAGUGUGGGUUUUUUU